CUCCAUUUUAGGGCUACCGUAGUUCAUAUAUGAAAAAGUAACACUUCUUUUACUUUUUAAUUUUAGGACCUCCCUUAACUUGGCAAACAUACAAGGUCAUAACUAAAGGGUGUAUACGUCAUGGAAAUUUUCCUGACUUAGUUCAAGAUGGCAUCUUAAAGUCUGGACAUCUUUAUCUACUUAAGGUUACCACAGUAUAUUACGUACUGAAAGAG
Pelobates cultripes (western spadefoot toad) is the source of this 215-nucleotide non-coding RNA. The record is from the annotation of a GenBank genome assembly. Lineage: Eukaryota; Metazoa; Chordata; Amphibia; Anura; Pelobatidae.